UGCUGCACUCUGCCGCUGAAGCCCCACGCAAGCAUGGCAGGCUGCUUGGCCCUUGAGAGAAUGUGAGCCACCAGGCUUGAUUAGAUUCUUGGUAUUGGCUGGUAUGUGACAGUUCGUCCUACUGAGGCAAGGGCUAAGUUACUCAGCUUUUUAUCAAGUAUCUGGAUCUUCAUCAAGGUCAACGAGCUAGUUUCAAGGAACUCGCCAGCUCUAACCUUUGACCCCCACGGGCCUUUCAGCCUUGCCUCCCUGUGGACAUUCUCCACAUUGACACAUUUUGGGGGCUUUACUUGUGACAGGCUGUCACUGGAUAUGCCAGGCUGGCCUCAAAUGGCUUAUUGCGAUUGCAAAUUGUUUUGAGUGCCCUAAACAAAGCUAUGUAUCACCCUCCCUAGCCCCCUGGGAUGCUCUUAGGAGAAACUUUUCACCUUCAGCAGAAGAAGUGGGAGUCAGAAGGGAGACCCUCAGGUGCUCUGGGGGGUCACUGUGGAGCUCUCAGGAAGGAGGAGUUGGUCUCAAGAGACAUAUUGGUAUUCUCACUGCGGUCUCUCAUUUGCAGCCUCCACUGGGGCUCAUUCCUUCUGGCUGCCCAAACUACAGCCCAAAAUUAAAUCUACUCUCAGACUCCA
Molecule: long non-coding RNA, 629 nt
Filed under: Rattus norvegicus (Norway rat)
Lineage: Eukaryota; Metazoa; Chordata; Mammalia; Rodentia; Muridae
Description: long non-coding RNA NONRATT010368
Source: RNAcentral